AUUCCAAUUAAGAUGUAAUUGAAAGUUUCAGUCAACAGACAAUAGGUUAAAUAAGUACUUUAAUUUGUUGAGUAGUAUACAUGCGUAACAAUCAUCUAUAUAAUGAGGAUACCCCUGAUAAGAUAAAUAUUAUUCUAACAAUCUUCAUUAUGAGAUGACAGAGUAGAUUUGGAAUCGGUAUCAGAAAACCCGUGUUUUUCCAUUGCAAAAAGUGAUGGACAUUUUGGUUGAUACAGUUCGACUGCUUCCAGGAGACUGUCUGGGUAUCCAGGAGAAUAAUAUCUAAUGCCAAUAAAUGAAAUAAUUAAACUAAUGAAAAUCAAGUAAAAAUUAUAAAGUGCAUAAAUAAACAAAAGAAUAUCUUCGUAAGCAUGUUCCUAUUUUUCCAAUGCAAUCAGCUGUAACAACAUGGCGAUCGCACCGUACAUUAACUGUCUGAUUUAAAUUAAGACACACGAGAUUCAGAAACGGAGUCGCAGUUAUUUGUAUUUGCUGUUGGUGUGAACUACUUUAAGAAGACUGGACUUUUUCAUCGAAAUAAAAUUACUUUACCGAAUUCCUUCCAUAAAUAUGGUAUUAAAAGUCAUCGACCACUAAGAAAACAAAAGAAGGAUCAAUAUACUUUUAACAAAGCGAUUAGAAAAUUAAUCUCAAUCCGCCUAUCUCUUUUAUUAUAAAUUAUAAUUUUUUUACUCUAGAAACAAUUAGCAUUUAUAAUAAGCAGAAUUUUUGAAUUUUUAAAAUGUUUUUUGAAAUGGUUUACUCAAAAAACGUAGGUGUAGAUGAGUGAAAAAUAAAGUGAAAUAAUAAUUACCAAGCAGAGCUUUGAAUACAUCGAGUUUAAUGAACUAUUUGAAAUAAUUAUUAUAGAAAAAGGAAGAAAAGAUACAAAAGAAAAGCUGUGAAUUAUAAGAUAAUGCGAAAAGGUGGCAAGAAGGAGGCAUUUCAGAGUAUUACGAAGUUUUUCAGCCCAAGGCUUUGAUAAGAAGACAGCUGCCUUAAAGUUCAAACACAUAACAAUAAAGUGAUUAAAAGGGAGAUGAUAUCAUCAUAUAUUAAAGGCAAAUUGCACUGUCUUACACAGUAUUGUCGUCAGAUUCCUAGUAAAUAUGUCUGAUAACAGGAAAAUAAAAAUCUGCAUCUUAUAAAAAGUCAA
This is a non-coding RNA of Megalopta genalis, 1156 nucleotides long. NCBI's taxonomy places the organism in Eukaryota, Metazoa, Arthropoda, Insecta, Hymenoptera, Halictidae. The record is from RefSeq and is a predicted model, not a curated record.